GACGAACGCUGGCGGCGUGCCUAAUACAUGCAAGUCGAGCGAAGUUUUUCUGGUGCUUGCACCGGAAAAACUUAGCGGCGAACGGGUGAGUAACACGUAAAGAACCUGCCUCAUAGACUGGGACAACUAUUGGAAACGAUAGCUAAUACCGGAUAAUAGCAUUAACUGCAUGGCUGAUGUUUAAAAGUUGGUUUUGCUAACACUAUGAGAUGGCUUUGCGGUGCAUUAGCUAGUUGGUGGGGUAAAGGCCUACCAAGGCGACGAUGCAUAGCCGACCUGAGAGGGUGAUCGGCCACACUGGGACUGAGACACGGCCCAGACUCCUACGGGAGGCAGCAGUAGGGAAUCUUCCGCAAUGGGCGAAAGCCUGACGGAGCAACGCCGCGUGAGUGAAGAAGGAUUUCGGUUCGUAAAGCUCUGUUGUUAGGGAAGAAUGAUUGUGUAGUAACUAUACACAGUAGAGACGGUACCUAACCAGAAAGCCACGGCUAACUACGUG
Molecule: ribosomal RNA, 499 nt
Filed under: uncultured bacterium
Lineage: Bacteria
Description: partial 16S ribosomal RNA
Rfam family: Bacterial small subunit ribosomal RNA
Source: RNAcentral